GGGUUGUUUGUUUGUUUCCCCUGAAACGAUCGGGCUCUAGACCGGGAGUUAAGGACAAAGCGUUUCGUGAGGAAAACGAGAAAUUCCAGAAGAAAAAAGAUAAAAUAAGGAGGAAAAGAAGGCUUCGGGCUGACAAAAGGCGGCGCCGGCCGGCGCUGCCCCUCACAGCCCCUCCGGCGCUGGCCCCCGCACUCGCUUCACAAAAUGGCCGCCCGGCGGGGCUGCGGGAGCGGCACUGAGGCGACAAAAUGGCGGCUGGCGGAGAGCGGGGGAAGGACAGGCGAGGAGCGGCUGCGGGGCCGGAGCGGCUCGGGCACGGCGGAGGGGCUCUGAUCCUGUGUGAAUCCCCUCCGGGCGGGCGGCGGAAGCGCUGCGGGGGUUGAAGCCGCCAUGUCCUCGUCUCCUCACGGCAUGGAAAAUUCCCAAAACUGCUUAGGGGAAAAAAAAAAAAAAAAAAAAAAAAGCGCAAGCCCCAAACGCCCGAGGAUUGAUUUAUCAUCGGAGCCGGAGCGGUAUGGGAAGAAGCCAUUGCUGCUUGCCUCCCCACAACAGCUCGCCUGCCAUUUGCUUAAUUAAAAUCAUAUAUUGUUCUGAUCAGACUUGGUAAUACCAUUAAAAAAAACCCAAAUCCCGUAACACCUGCAAGCUCGUUGUUGGAGACUGUAGCCAAGAUACGUAGAUUUUCCUUGGAAGAUUUGGGAAGGAUUAUUUUUUAAUGAAAAACAGGAAAAAAAUACACCCAGAAAAAGCCAAAACCAAAACAAACAGUGAAAAAGAAACAAAAAGAAAAAAGCACAACAAAACCAAACCGCAUCCCUAAGUGACCUCCUGCAGCGCUGCCUCCACUGCGGUUCCCCACAGCUUUGCACUGGAGCACUAACGUGUGUCCCUGUGAGCCACAGUGACCUUGCUGGGGGGACUGGGCCCACCAGGUGAUUCAGUGCUGGAAUCUGCAUUGGCAGGUGUGCAAAUGUGAAGACUGUAACAGCAGCAAGUGAGGAUGGAUGAGCUGUUUUCUGGGGUCACAUCCAACUCCAGAGAAGAAACCCAUGUGAUUUAUAAUUUUUGUCUUAUCUCUGCUAGGCUUUACUCUGAGCUCCACUGUAUCUUGUGAGAAGACUGAGUUUGACCCUUUUCGCUACUAAAAAUGGUUCUCUUUUUAAACCUUGGUGUUUUUUCCCUUCCCUGUGGUCAUGCAGAAGAGCAAGCGGUGCAAUUAAACAGUACAGCAAAGGGCAGCUCCCUCCCCCUUUCCCUUUCAAAAAAUCCAGAGUUGUGUGUCCUGAACUGCUGCAUAGGCAGAAAACAUACAAAGCCCUUGUCAGCAUUGUGCUGAUGUGUGGCACGUUAAAAAAAUACACACAAAAGGGGUGGGGAGAGUGAGUGCCUCCAGGGAGCAAAACUGUGGGGCCCCUUUCCCUCCAAGCCUCUACAGACCUACGUGGGAUAGUCUAUUCCUCCCAAUUUUGCUCAGGCAACAGCAGUGGAGGUCGGAGGGAGUUUUGAACAUCUUAAGUUGUAUUGAUGAAGAUCAGGGUCCCCUUGAAUUAUAUUUUUUUUCUCUGUGAACUUGCUCCUGUGAGAUGCAGCUGGUUUAUUACUCCAUUCCUCAAAGUCCUGCUCACUCUCUGGGAAGAAGGGAAACACUGCUUCCUUACUGGGUGUCAUUUCUUUUGUUGUGUUGCAAAGGUAAUAAAAAGCACCUGGUGCUGGUCUCUGCCAGGUCACACAUGGCUUGGAGGCACAGCUUCCCGAAGUCAUUAGUGCACAGGGAGUGCUGGGGGUCGUUAGCCACCCUUAAUGAGCAUAUCGCACUGGGAUUCUAUGGAUGCCGCUGGUUGACCCAGCCCGGGAGAUGCCCCUGACAAGAAAUUAUUUCACUGGCUGGUUGCUGCAGGGAUUUCUAGCACAGCUACAACUUCAUCCUUCUUUUUGGCCAAAAUUAAGCACAGGGUGGGGACGAAGUGGCCAGGCCAGACUUCAUACCCUGCUGCCUGUGGUAGGUGUGUGAACAGCUCCUGUGCCUAAAGCCUUGUUUGGAAUAAGCCAGUGUGGACAGGGAUUUGGAUUUUAUUCCCUCAUUAGGGCUGUGUUGGUUUCGAGAUACACCUUGUUCUCUUCAUAGGCCUCUGCUGGCAGGGAGAUUCGGAGGAGCAAGAAACUGCCUGUUGGGAUGAUUCCACAUUUUUCAGACUGGCACACCCUGUGGGCCUCUAAAUUACUUUCCUUUGGCAGUUUAGGAUAAAUGACUGAGAAUUGCCGUAUGGGCACUGAACUUUUACCACCCUGAAGCGUUACUCGAGCUACAUCCAUGAUAUUUCCAAGCUAAACAAAACCUGAAUUUCCAGUGCCAAAAAGUGAUACGAAGUUCCACUCCUCCUGUGUAUAGGAGAAAACCACAGUCUUUCAACAUUUGCUUUUAGCCCAAAGAGUUAAAAAGCUGCACUGUGAGAUCUGCAGACAUGAAAAUAAAAGCCAAAGGCAGAUGAGAAACUUCUCCCAUGCCGUGGUGGAGGAGAGGCUUUAGAGCGCAGCAGGCGUUGAUGCACAAAUAUUUCUAUUUAUGCUUUCUCUGGAGUGAAGGAGCAGUAACUCCACAGACAUGGAGUAACUCCUUUUCGUUUAAACACCCUCAUGCUGCUGUGGUAUCAAAAUGGUGUUUGAUGAAACAAAAGCUCAGAUGGUGAUGGCUUGGUGUGCUGCUCAAUCCAAUGCGGGAUGUGGGAAGAGCAGCCUGUAGCUUGCAGGUUUGGACUGUGGGGUUUGCGCUAAAGCCUUGUCCUGUAACAUUUCCAGUGUAAUUUCUGAAUUUUUUUUUCCCCUGAGCGUUACACACUGGUAAAAAUCACAUCUGGAUAUAGAGUUAAUAGAACAAUUAGGUGUUAAAAAUGGCAAAGCACAGGAUUCAGUGAUCUAACCAGUCCUAGGGGAUUUAUAUCCUUUGCAGUUGUCCUGUUUGGGUAUCAAAUCACAUGGAACUGUUUUCUUUUUAUGUUUGCUUUCUUUGGUUUUCCCUUAAAAUGUAAUCUUUUGCAGCCUGGAAGGCCAUGGUCCUGUCUAGUGAUGAAAGCCCUGUGUUUGGGGAGAACCCUUGUGAGCAGGCAGCUCUCUGGCACAUGGUUGUACAGAAGUUUGGGGGCAAGGGGGAGCAGGGCAAAAGCUGGCACUGUGAUAUUCCCAUUUUUUCCCAACAAGAGGCUAAAAGAAAUGUGUUAUUUCUAAUAUAUCUACCAAAUCAUAAGUGAGAGUAAACUCUUUUGCAGUCUUA
Molecule: long non-coding RNA, 3268 nt
Organism: Prinia subflava (tawny-flanked prinia)
Lineage: Eukaryota; Metazoa; Chordata; Aves; Passeriformes; Cisticolidae
Exons: 5
Source: RefSeq, a predicted model, not a curated record